Salmo salar (Atlantic salmon) is the source of this 580-nucleotide non-coding RNA. The record is from RefSeq and is a predicted model, not a curated record. NCBI's taxonomy places the organism in Eukaryota, Metazoa, Chordata, Actinopteri, Salmoniformes, Salmonidae.
CUGCAGCUUUUACGAGAACUACCACUGCUCCUACUAUCAACAGCACCAUAGAAGCUCCUACUUCCACAACCAUAACUGAAGCUUCUAUAACCACCACAACUGUAUCUUCUACUAUGACAACCACAACUUCAGCUGCCAUAAUGACAACUACAAAUGCAGCUCCAACAAUGGCAACUCCAGCUCUUACAACCACCACCACCACUGUAGCUUCUAGCAUGGCAAUUCAACCUGCAGGUCCUACAACAACGACCACAACUGUUUCUCCAACAAUGACUGCAACUGCAGCACCUACAAGUACAACCACAAUUGCACUUCCAACUUUUACCUCAACUUCUAUGGCUUCAGUGACAUCAACAACCAGAUUUGGCACAGUGAUGGUUUUUGUUAGGCUGGUGUUCCAGCUCAACACACCAGUCCCCACUGAGGAUGAUGUCCUUGGUGUCAUCAACGAGCAACUGUCUCGCCAAUUGAACAUUCAGAGAAACACUCAAACCACCUUCCAGAAUGCAACUUAUAUCAAACUUACACAUACUUCAUUUGCCAUCGAUCUUGGUUUCAAAAUAACCAAUGUCACCAUGGA